RNAcentral lists this long non-coding RNA (322 nucleotides) under Mytilus galloprovincialis (Mediterranean mussel). The record is from RNAcentral. Lineage: Eukaryota; Metazoa; Mollusca; Bivalvia; Mytilida; Mytilidae.
UUGUUCCUCUUUCGCAUCGUUUCUUUUCCUCCGGCUAAUACCUCCAACGCCUGUACGUACAAUAAACAUAGCAGCAACUGCACAUAUACCUAUGUGACCAACUUCAAUUCGACGUAACUGCGAGCACCUUCGAUACUAAUACAUUUAAAUCCAAAACUUUAUAUAGUACCUUUAAACCCCACCCAUAAAAACCGCCAAAACUGUCCUCGUGUCUCCUGCAGCUAACAUCAAACUUAUAAAUAGUACAUACUGUUACAAAACCAGUAUCCGAACUAGUUAUACUAGUUCCCAUCUAUAAAUAAUACUACAAAUAGCAAACGGG